This is a non-coding RNA of Pelobates cultripes (western spadefoot toad), 335 nucleotides long. The record is from the annotation of a GenBank genome assembly. Lineage: Eukaryota; Metazoa; Chordata; Amphibia; Anura; Pelobatidae.
UAGUGACAGAGAGAGGGAUGGGGUGACUAGUGACAGAUUAGUGACAGAGUGAGGAGGGGGUGACUAGUGACAGAGGGAGGGGGUAACACAGUGACAGAGUAAGGGGGUGACACAGUGACAGAGUUAGGGAGGGAGUAACUAGUGACAGAGAGAGGGAUGGGGUGACUAGUGACAGUCACCCCCCCCUCACUCUGUCACCAGUCAUCCCCUCACUCUGUCACUAGUCACCCCUUCCCUCCCUCACUCUGCCACUAGUCACCCAUUCCCUCACUCUGUCACUAGUCUCCCAUUCCCUCCCUCUGUCACUAGUCUCCCCUUCUCCUUCCCUCUGUCAC